This is a non-coding RNA of Meleagris gallopavo (turkey), 4486 nucleotides long. The record is from RefSeq and is a predicted model, not a curated record. Lineage: Eukaryota; Metazoa; Chordata; Aves; Galliformes; Phasianidae.
CGGGACCUCAGCCGUGCGGUGAAGGUCGCGGCUGCGGGUCGGGAGCGUUGCGGCCUACGGGGAGCGAAAGCAAAAGCAGAGCCCAGGCCGGGCAGGAGGAGCCUUCCGCUGAGCGACGGCAGGGCUGCGGACCGCAGCUGGGCGGCUCUCCGGGCACAGGGGCGGCUGCUGCCGUCGGUCUGCGCUCGCAGGUUUGAGGCCGGUGCCGAAAGCCGAACAAAACGUGGAAGACCCCCUACGUCCCCUGGGGAAAGUCAGCGACUGCCCCCUCCUCUCAUGGCAUUUCACUGCUAAAUCAAAAGCCAGUGCAGCAGAGGAGGAUGAAAGGAGAUAACGACUUUCACAGACUGGGCCGUGAACGUGAGGGAAUGGGACCUGCAAAGGAUCAGCAGAGAUUUUGAGAGCUGAAGAUUGUCACGGGCAUCACCAGAAUGAACAGAAUUAGUGGGUUAUAGUGUGUGAGCACAAAGUCUUUCUCACUGCCCUCUUACUCUUCCCCGUCCCUGACUUCAAGGUACAGAACCUUCUAUCAUGUCCCUCAUCUUCAUGCAGGAUCUUCUUCCCUUUUUGUUGCUGGAGAACAACAUGACCUCCUCCUGCUAACUCCUGGACCUUUAUUUAGUCCAUCUCUCUGAGCUAUGAGGCCAGCAGAAGCUCCUGUGUAUCCUGCUGUCUGUGGGACAACACCUAUCGCAGUGGGCAGGGGCUGGGUCCCUCAGUGUGAAGAAGUGGCAGAUGAGAGCUGGCUAGAAGGGCUGGAAAGGCAGUGUACUGGGGAACCCUCCUGCCAUGAUAAAGGCAGUAACUGUUCUUUGUAUGCCAACCAAAUGGAAACUGAAAACGCUAUAAUAAAACCAACAGUAAGUGACUUUCAAGAUUGGAAAACAGGUUUACAAGAUACAGUUUUUUCACAGAUAGGAAUCUCAGCUCACAGAAAGAUUAAAUCCACAGCAUGCUCUGUCUUGCACUGGAGUUCCCCAGGCUUGAGCUGGGAGCUCAACCUUGUGCUGCGUGGAAAUGCAUGAAGAAAGAUCUGUGUUCUAAGGAAACAAAGUUCCAGGCUGGGACAACAUAGUCAAUAAGACAAAGACCCAGCCAUCUCUCUGAUCAUCUGGGUGACUUGGACUGUAGCACAAGUAAGGACUUGAAUGAGAUCUUCUGCCAAAAUGCCUUCGGGAGAGAUGAAUUCUGCUACGGAUUUCCUAUCACUCUGAAUGGAUAUUUUAUUGCCACCAGACUUUUAAGCAGGCAUUUAGCCUCUUCCCUUAUCUGAAAUUUGCCAGGUGAACUGUACUUCAGAAGUGCCUAAUGUGCUCCAUAAAGGAAAAGGCAACCCAGGUGACCAGCAUGGACUGACACUAUGAUGCUGUAAAGAUAGGUGAGAUGAAUCCCACCGCUGUAUGGUGUUCUCAACAGGGAAGGCAGAAUUGCUUAAAAAGAACGAAACAAAUCUGGAAUUCAGGCUUUAUGAAACAAGUCAGUGUGUAACAGGGGCUGCUUUCUGUAAUAAAUACCUCCUGUUUCGUUUUGACCGCAACUCCAUCUGUCUGACAAUCCCUAAUUAUCAGGUCUGACUCUUACCCAGCUGGAACACUUUUUUCUCAGCACUGUGGGGGGAGUGCUGACUUCCAUUACGGUAACAAUGAACUCCCAGAGCACCUAUAGAGAGGUGGACUUCAGAGAUUUUAUUCUUAGAGUGUCAUGGAUAAAUCUUGAAUCCAUUGAAGUCAAUGAAAAACUCAAACCAACUUCUGCUGGGCUAGAAUUUCUGCCUGGGUCUCAAAUAAACAGGAAUUGGCAUCCUGAAGAGAUUUUUGCAGACUGUGUAUCUAUCUGUCAAACUCUGUUUCCCAUUUAAUUCUGAUUUUAUACUGCAAAGAUAUAGAAGUUCCAAGAAGCUUUCAGGCUUUCAGUCAGAAUGAGGCUAUUGAAAAACAUGACCUUUUCUUCAAAAGCCACUACCUGCAGUGGCUGUUGACUGCCACUGUGAAUACUGACCUCACAGCAAAGUGCUAGACAUCACUGAACAGCACAGGGUGUUGUGUUCUUUACAAUCACAUAGAGAAUAUAUUUAAAUUCCUAUUGCCUCAGAGGGGAAAUUGCCAUCUCUCAAGGCUUACAGCACCCCUGAAGAAAGACCUUCUACUUUUAGUAACUCCUGAGGUCAUAACUGGUCGCAUCUGUAGCCACUAGAAUUCACAGUAAUGUCACAUGUGUCCAUAUUCACCAUAAAAGCUAAUACUUUUGCAUGUGCAAUGUAUACUCAGACUGCUGCUUCAAGUAGAGAUGCCCUUUUAAGUCAUUCUCUUGAUUCCUAAGACCUCUCAUAAAUCUUUUUAGAUUGACGGGCAAAUAAACCUAACAUAAAAAAAUGACAGCCUGCAAUAUCAGAUUAGCAAACUGGAUGCUAGAAGGCAGGUAUUUGGUUUGCUGCCAGAAACUGCAGCCACUCAGCUAAAACAAUUCUGUCAGAAAUAUACUUCCGCAAGAAUUUUCAUUGAGUCUGUUAAUUAGACUUAGCAACGCUCACAUUAGCAGGACUUCCAAGUCAAUAACAAUCCUCCACUAAGUAUGGAUCCGUAGUGUGAAUAAAUGCAAAAUCUGGGCCCUUCUUUUGAAACAAUCGGAGUUUAGUGCAUAAAGAGGCCAUUAGGGCCAUUAUGCCGUAGCUGCGUUAAAAGCACAACCUUGCUUCUGAAGCUCCCGUAGCAAAUAAUGGCUGUACCAGUCUUAUCUCUUCCAGGAGCAGUUGGCCUCUGUCGGAAAGUGCUGACCUACAGAAAAAAAGCUGCAACGAAAAACAAUACCCUUUCCUAUUUAUUUAGCACUUUCUGUUUUUGUAACACUGUCUUUAUCAGUUUGGCAGCAUGAGAAUGUGUAUUGUUCCCUUCUCAAAACCGGGAAAACUGAUGCAAAAAUUAUGUUUUGGCUUCUGAUUCACAUUCAGAUCAACGUCAAAACAGAAGUUCAGGACUUGUUGACCUUUUUUUUUUUUCGAGCCUUAAUUUUUUCUGGAUCUUUUAAAUCAGAUAUGAUUCAAAAAUGCUUUCAGCAAACCUGUGAAAAUGGUGAGAAGUAUGUAACAUAUACUGACAGGUUCUAGGCUGGUGCAGCCAACUCUGUAGCCAUGUGGUAAAACAGAACUGAACUGGCUAGGGAAAAAAAACAACAACAAAUAGAAAAGAGAAAACGGAGUCUAGUUUCUUAAUGAGGUUACUUUUCAUAUUUGCAGCAGGGAGCACCCUAAACAACUGAGGGUGUGUGCAGGGACAGAGGUGGGAAGCAAAGAAGAUAUCUGCAUAAGCCACUACUGCUGAUAAGAAGAUGAGAAUUCAUCUUAGACUGUUGCCUUAUUAUCCCAGGCUUCACUAUUAAGUACCUGUUGGAGCAAGUCCUGAAGCAAAGGGUGGAACUGAAAUUGUACCCCAAAAUAACACCCAACUAUCCCUAAUCUAACUCUCCAACACGUUCCUGCAUGCGAUCAUGGUGACAGUACACCCAAGGGACAGUCUGCUUUCAAAUAUCCGGUAAUUUCUGGAUGUCACAAUAAGGCAGUGCUUGGAAAAGAUUAGUUGAAACAUUUGUUUGAAGGAACAUCUACUUUGCCUCAGUUUGUGUGCAAACUGAAACACAGAAAUUAAUCUUUAAAUCUAGUUUUAGGUUAUGUGCAGUGGCUCAGCUGUAACCUGGCUAUGGUUAGAUAGGAAAUUCUCACAUCACAAGAAGCUAAGGGUAAAAGUCAGGACAUGAUCUAGUGAGUUUUUUGCAUUCCUAAGUUCUGCAGUGCACUAAAAAAAAAAAAAAACUUAAAAGGACAUAAAGGAUGAAGAGGCAUAACAUGAGUUAUCAUGUUCCCCUUUUUUCCUGAGUCCUGAAAGACAAGUACCAGGGUGUAGAUGUUUGCCUAUUUACACAUGUAAAUAAUACUAUUCCAGUUGACAAUCUGUGCUUAGUGAAGCUAACAGUGACCUCAGCUAUAUAAGCUAAACAUGCAAAUCACUUUAUAAAUAUGGCCGUGUAUAAUAAAUGGGUCUCACUGAUGAUAUUUUGUCACAAGAGUGCACCAAAAUGUAAGUUUGUGUCAUAUAUAAACAAUGAAGUUUACUAUAGCUAGGCUGUGUGCUAUCUGAAAGCAGAGUUCAGGAUCCAGUUACCACCAGAUUUUCCUGUAUUUUGAUCAAAAUUCUUCUUCGAGACCAAAAGCACUUUAAAUUCAAAAAACAUAUUAUCCAUUACGUGUAAUUAAGAGUACCUUCAGGUCCUACAGGGAAGAGGGCACUCCUUUCACACCUCCCCUCACUUCUGGAUGUGCAGCUUUCCUGUAACAUGAGAAUCACAUUUUGGCCUACCAACAAAAUUUGUUUAUGGUUGUCUAUGGCUGUUUAAAGUGAAAAUUGAUUCUCUAAAUGUAACAUGUGGUUUAUCCUUGCAAAGGUCAGUAGCAAGCAUAGAUUGGUUACAAAGAUUCAUAUCUAAUUAAACAUGU